CUAUGGGUAGUUUUCCGAGUUUCUUUGACGUUUAUUUUGUCUUCAAAUUUUGAAAGAUGUGUUAAUGUUUUGAUGUGGGGGUUUAUUAUUUUUGCAAACUAUUAUAAAAGCCAUUCUGUGAAAAAAUUAAGUUUCUGAGCUUAGUCGUUAAACAUUUAUUUUUAUUUUAUACGUCUUAAAGUGAAAAAAUACGAACGCGUCGUAAUUAUUUAAAGGUUUAACAAAGCUUGUGCGUGGUGAAGGUGAAUGGGUGACUGAUUUCUGGCCUGGAGAAGAAGGGCUAUUGAUUUUAAGUAUGGUGCUUUUUGCUUUCAACAGAAGAAUCUCAUUUUCCUUUUAGUGCCCAUGUUUAAGAUGUAGAAAUUUGUGUUGAAAGAAUGUUUGAAGAUAUUAGAUAUAGGUACCUAAAUAAGUUACAAUAAAUUGUAACCAUCCAUAGGCAUUGUAUUCUACAUCCACAACUUAAGCAAGAUUUAUGUUCCACAUCUUUGUAUCGAUGGAAUCAUUCUUGAACCUGGAAAUGUAUACCUUAGGGAGUGUAUCUACAAAAGGACAAGAAUUUACAAAAUAACUGUUAAAGGAAUUUACAAUUUGCAAUGGACAUAAGUAUGUAUUUACAAAAUUACUAAACCAAACCAAAUACAGACAAUAUUUUUAUUCUUGUUA
This is a long non-coding RNA of Sitophilus oryzae (rice weevil), 666 nucleotides long. RefSeq lists it as uncharacterized. Lineage: Eukaryota; Metazoa; Arthropoda; Insecta; Coleoptera; Curculionidae. The record is from RefSeq and is a predicted model, not a curated record. The transcript is spliced from 2 exons.